RNAcentral lists this transfer RNA (60 nucleotides) under Deltaproteobacteria bacterium. RNAcentral's name for it is "tRNA-OTHER". It matches the Rfam family "tRNA", at positions 11 to 71 of the family's 71-position model. From Rfam's summary of the family: Transfer RNA (tRNA) molecules are approximately 80 nucleotides in length. Lineage: Bacteria; Pseudomonadati; Myxococcota; Myxococcia. The record is from RNAcentral.
GUAAAUGGUGGUCUUCGGCCUCUCACGCCGAAAACGCGGGUUCGAUCCCCGCUGGGACCA